UGAGUUUCCAUGGGGGAGGCAUGUGAUGUGGAGGAUUGUGAAGGUGUUUGUGGGAUGGGUGUAGCUGAUGAUUUCUUAGUGUUUGUGUUUUGUUGUUGUGCUUGCUUGUGGGGGAGUGUUGUUACCAUAUGGGCCAGUAAUGGCCAGGUGUAUUAUGUACACAUGACACAUUAAUAAACUAUAUUAUUAUUAUUAUUAUUAUUGUUCUUUCACCACACUUACGCUUCUCCAAAUUUAGAAAGAAGCUGUGUACACAGUGUUCUUGCGAGUUACAAUUACGCGUCCGGUUUGGCGGCAACUUCAAAGAGUGGACAUAUGGUUGCUCCUUCAGGUAGCUAUAAUUACCCUCUCUAUAAUGCAAUAUCGUAUUAUCCAUUUGUAAUGAAUGAUAGUAACACUUAAUCGGAUUGGAUUCAGUUAAAUCUACAUUUCUCAAGGUCUCUAACAUCGAGAUUUGAAAUAUCUUCAUGUAAAUACCUUCUUUGUCAUGUGACUUGUAUAUAUUCGUGUAUAUUCAGAAUCGUACCUUCGCACAAUGUCUUUGCACAAUGGCACAAGCAACGUGGUCUCUUUCUGUAAAAAAUAGCACUCUUUAUUUCAGCCACAGCAAAGAUCCCGAACCAGAUGCAGUCAGCAGAGUUACAGCGUCUGGUUACCGUCUUGCAGUUACGAUACAGAAUAUGUGCACAUAGCUUUCAAUGACCAGACGAAAAAAAAGAAUUCAUUUCAAGUAUGUUGAGAAGAAAACGACCCAUCUCUGAAAAAAAUUCACCUCACCCAAGAAAUGAGAAUGAAAAGUGCAGAGUCUCCCAAGGAAUUGUCUUGUAAUAAAGCAUGUGAAUAAAUAAUUUUUUGAAAUAUCUCACGAAAUUAGUUUUAUUUUUUUGCUUGAAAUCAUGUGAACUAAAAAUGUUUGUUUUGAGGAAAAAGGUCAUUUAAAGCAACUCCAGGUUAAACUAUCCAAUGAUUGAAUCUUAUUUCUCCUGAAUUAAAAUAAUUCUGCUAAAUAUUACUGCAGAAAAUAAUUCUGCCAGAAAUUUCUGUAGAAAAAAAAAAAUUCUGCCAGAAAUUUCUGUAGAAAAAAAAAAUACUGCCAGAAAUUUCUGCAGAAAAAAAAAAUUCGGCCAGAAAUUUCUGCAGUAAUGCAUUUUCUGAGCCAAUUUUUGAGCUUAUGAACAUGUGAACACACUGGGACACACAUUAUUUGGAUUCGUCUCCUCGAGAGCUUUCCAGUGAUAUAAAACAUGUAUUUGUAGCUCGCUUCCUUCUGUGUGGUCAAGUUCGGACUCCUGGCCAUUCCUUAG
Molecule: long non-coding RNA, 1304 nt
Organism: Haliotis rufescens (red abalone)
Lineage: Eukaryota; Metazoa; Mollusca; Gastropoda; Lepetellida; Haliotidae
Exons: 3
Source: RefSeq, a predicted model, not a curated record